RNAcentral lists this ribosomal RNA (433 nucleotides) under uncultured bacterium. RNAcentral describes it as "partial 16S ribosomal RNA". It matches the Rfam family "Bacterial small subunit ribosomal RNA", at positions 29 to 507 of the family's 1533-position model. The record is from RNAcentral.
AACGAACGCUGGCGGCAUGCCUAACACAUGCAAGUCGAACGAGACCUUCGGGUCUAGUGGCGCACGGGUGCGUAACGCGUGGGAACCUGCCCUUAGGUUCGGAAUAACUCCCCGAAAGGGGUGCUAAUACCGGAUAAUGUCUUCGGACCAAAGAUUUAUCGCCUUUGGAUGGGCCCGCGUUGGAUUAGCUAGUUGGUAGGGUAAAAGCCUACCAAGGCGACGAUCCAUAGCUGGUCUGAGAGGAUGAUCAGCCACACUGGGACUGAGACACGGCCCAGACGGCUACGGGAAGAAGCAGUGGGGAAUAUGGGACAAUGGGGGAAAGGCUGAUCCAGCAAGGCCGGGUGAGUGAUGAAGGCCUUAGGGUUGUAAAGCUCUUUUACCCGGGAUGAUAAUGACAGUACCGGGAGAAUAAGCGCCGGCUAACUCCGUG